GAAAAUAGGUUUAAAAAUUAUAUUUUUAAUUAAAAGGGAAGUAGGUUAGAAUCCUACACGAUCCCGUCGCUGUAAUUGAGGAGUGUCUACAAAAUCCACUGGGAAACUGGGAAGGGUGUAGAUGUUAUGAUACAUAAGUCAGAAGACCUGCCUGUUUUUAA
Molecule: non-coding RNA, 161 nt
Filed under: uncultured Clostridium sp.
Lineage: Bacteria; Bacillati; Bacillota; Clostridia; Eubacteriales; Clostridiaceae
Source: RNAcentral